RNAcentral lists this long non-coding RNA (2244 nucleotides) under Homo sapiens (human). RNAcentral describes it as "non-protein coding lnc-MRPL21-1:1". The record is from RNAcentral. Lineage: Eukaryota; Metazoa; Chordata; Mammalia; Primates; Hominidae.
UCCGUUUCCGGCCGAGGCUGCGGCCAUGGCAGCAUCUUCCCUGACGGUCACCUUAGGGCGGCUGGCGUCCGCGUGCAGCCACAGCAUCCUGAGACCUUCGGGGCCCGGAGCAGCCUCCCUUUGGUCUGCUUCUCGAAGGUUCAAUUCACAGAGCACUUCAUAUCUACCAGGGUAAUAUCAAAAUAUAUGUUCCUAAAACAUCCCUGAGUUCACCACCUUGGCCAGAAGUUGUUCUGCCAGACCCAGUUGAGGAGACCAGACACCAUGCAGAGGUCGUGAAGAAGGUGAAUGAGAUGAUCGUCACGGGGCAGUAUGGCAGGCUCUUUGCCGUGGUGCACUUUGCCAGCCGCCAGUGGAAGGUGACCUCUGAAGACCUGAUCUUAAUUGGAAAUGAACUAGACCUUGCGUGUGGAGAGAGAAUUCGACUGGAGAAGGUCCUGCUGGUUGGGGCAGACAACUUCACGCUGCUUGGCAAGCCACUCCUCGGGUAAUGGCUGUGAAGUGCUGGGCUUUGUCUGGGGCUCCAGGGCUGGACAUGCAGACAGUGGUCACAGUGCAAUUAGGCCAGAAAGGAUCUUGUUCGAGUAGAAGCCACAGUCAUUGAAAAGACAGAAUCAUGGCCAAGAAUCAUUAUGAGAUUCAGGAAAAGGAAAAACUUCAAGAAGAAAAGAAGUAAGUUAGAGAAAGUACCGCUGGGCCCUGUUGCACGGUGCUGGUUGCCCAGGCGCAUGCGGACGGAGGGUGUGGGGCACGUGGGUCUCGGGACAGGAAGCCCAGGCAGGUCUCAACCUGGCUGCCACUGCCCACUUGCCACCCUCAUCCUAGAGGGAGCACCCAGAGGGUCCAGCCUCGCUCCCCUUCUCCUCCACGCUCCACGCGUGACCCCACCUCGCUCCCCUUCUCCUCCACGCUCCGCACGUGACCCCACCUCGCUCCCCUUCUCCUCCACCCUCCGCGCGUGACCCCACCUCGCUCCCCUUCUCCUCCACCCUCCGCGCAUGACCCCACCUCGCUCCCCUUCUCCUCCACCCUCCGCGCGUGACCCCACCUCGCUCCCCUUCUCCUCCACCCUCCGCGCGUGACCCCACCUCGCUCCCCUUCUCCUCCACCCUCCGCGCGUGACCCCACCUCGCUCCCCUUCUCCUCCACCCUCCGCGCGUGACCCCACCUCGCUCCCCUUCUCCUCCACCCUCCGCGCGUGACCCCACCUCGCUCCCCUUCUCCUCCACCCUCCGCGCGUGACCCCACCUCGCUCCCCUUCUCCUCCACCCUCCGCGCGUGACCCCACCUCGCUCCCCUUCUCCUCCACCCUCCGCGCGUGACCCCACCUCGCUCCCCUUCUCCUCCACCCUCCGCGCGUGAACCCACCUCGCUCCCCUUCUCCUCCACCCUCCGCGCGUGAACCCACCUCGCUCCCCUUCUCCACCCUCCACGCGUGACCCCACCUCGCUCCCCUUCUCCUCCACCCUCCACGCAUGACCCCACUUUGUUCCAACCCAUGACGCCUAGCACUGUCCCCAAAGCAGCAGUGAAUCCGCAAGCAGGUGUAGGGCUGUCCUAGCAGGUCUGCACUGAGGACAUCCCCCAUAGUGGGCAUCCUGAGGGAUGGCACCCACGGGGCAUGGGCCACAUAGCUGAGCGGCUGCAGAAUUCUGUCCCUCACAGCUCUUGCUAUAACUGCAGUUGCCGGCCUAAACCACCAACAGUGGGCAUAGUUAAAUAUACCCAGAAUACUGGUAUUGGCUGUCACCUUAGAGUCAUCUGGGUAGGGGAGCCUCUCAUGUACCUUCUGACACUUCCAGGUAGCCUCAAGGUCACUCAGGUGGGGCCAUCCUCCCACGCACUCCAGAAGUCACAGCAUAGACAGUGUGGGAGGAGAGGUGAGGUGCCAGCGCAGGGCACUCCUGGCCAUGAGGCGUCUGGUGUCCCAGCCUCUGCACCUGCCAACAGAGUGAACGAACAAGCUAGCGAGGCAGUCAGUGCACACCUGGAGAUAAACACGGCCAUGUGCAGCAGGGGACGUUGCCGGGGUCGCGCUGGCUGGGGAGGGCUGUGUGCAGAGCCCCUGCUGUAACUGAUGACAACAGUCAGGGUCUGUGGUCAAGCCUGUGACAUCCUUUCUUUCAGUCGUCACGACCCCGCAGACUGUCCUCCGGAUAAACAGCAUUGAGAUUGCUCCGUGUUUGUUGUGAUUACCGAGUUAAUACUUACAAAAGGAUAAAAAUAAACUCCUGCUUCCCAAGG